This 756-nucleotide ribosomal RNA is filed under the name uncultured bacterium. RNAcentral describes it as "bacterial SSU rRNA". It matches the Rfam family "Bacterial small subunit ribosomal RNA", at positions 8 to 796 of the family's 1533-position model. The record is from RNAcentral.
AGAGUUUGAUCAUGGCUCAGAAUCAACGCUGGCGGCGUGCCUAACACAUGCAAGUCGCACGAGAAAGGGUAGCAAUACCUGAGUAAAGUGGCGCACGGGUGAGUAACACGUGAAUGAUCUACCUCCGAGUGGGGAAUAACUGAGAGAAAUCUCAGCUAAUACCGCAUAACACUUACGAGUCAAAGCAGCAAUGCGCUUGGAGAGGAGUUCGCGGCCGAUUAGUUAGUUGGCGGGGUAAUGGCCCACCAAGACGAUGAUCGGUAUCCGGCCUGAGAGGGCGCACGGACACACUGGAACUGAAACACGGUCCAGACUCCUACGGGAGGCAGCAGUGGGGAAUUUUGCGCAAUGGGGGAAACCCUGACGCAGCAACGCCGCGUGGAGGAUGAAAUAUCUUGGUAUGUAAACUCCUUUCGAUGGGGAAGAUUAUGACGGUACCCAUAGAAGAAGCCCCGGCUAACUUCGUGCCAGCAGCCGCGGUAAUACGAGGGGGGCAAGCGUUGUUCGGAUUUAUUGGGCGUAAAGGGUGCGUAGGCGGUUUGAUAAGUCUGAUGUGAAAUCUAUGGGCUCAACCCAUAGUCUGCAUUAGAAACUGUCGGGCUUGAGUAUGGGAGAGGUGAGUGGAAUUUCCGGUGUAGCGGUGAAAUGCGUAGAUAUCGGAAGGAACACCUGUGGCGAAAGCGGCUCACUGGACCAUAACUGACGCUGAUGCACGAAAGCUAGGGGAGCAAACAGGAUUAGAUACCCCGGUAGUCC